UGGUACAUAUAAAAUACGAUUAAUUAUAUGAUAACACAUAUUUUUGUAACCUAUGAUGACACAUAUCUAUAAUAAUAAAACAGAGUUUUCUCUCACCUUAGCUCUCCACGUCCUUCUUUAGGGGUGGGCAUUUGUUGACAUGUGUCGCCAUUUAAUUGGUUGCGCUUUUUUACUUGUGUUUGGGUUUUUGCUUUACACUUGCGUAAUGGGCUUCAGAAAACAAUUCAAGCCCAUUGUAAAAUUAAUUUUCCUCGCCUUCUCGCCUAAGACCCUGGUAUUUUAUCAGAUGAAAGUUCCAGAAAACUCAAAACGUCGAUUGCUUCUCCGUAACGUCUCCUCCUUGCAUUGAUACGUUCUUUACUCCCAACUUUUGCGUGAUUAACCCACUUUUCCCACUCUGCAUCAUUCAAUUGACCUCAUCGAUGAAGCUUCGAGUACAAAUAUCCCAUCUUCCAACGAUGAACAACACAACUUUGACUUAGCGGUUUUGACUUAAAUCGGCAUGACGUCUCUCUCGCAGGUUAUGUAUCAGAGCCUUCUUUUUCAUCUGUUUAGAGUUGGAAGAUGAUUAUUUGUUUUUUUUUUUGUUCUUGGUUUCAUAGAUGUUACUAGAUAAGCAGGCCAUGAAGACAAUUCUUCUAGAAAUUCCUUCCCUUGCCAGAUAGACGACUUCAACUGCUGCCAGCUACUGGGAAUUUGUGAGUGUGAAAUAAGCAGAGCUAAAGCACUUCUUAAGAUUCAGUGGCAGACACUUAUCAUGCAUUGUUUCCAGAAGGAACUCCCAUGGAGUUUCAACGCAUCUUGGAACUCAAAGGUCUUAAGAAAGCUGAUCAGCAGAUCAUACUUGAUGAUUUCAACAAGUAUGGCCCAGGGUUGACAUAGCCCUCUGUUUCAGGGGCAAUGCCACAAGUGGUUCCAAUUUACCUGCACUGCUGCUGGUAAUCACUAAUCCGGAUACAACAGAUGGGUUUAUAGCAAGCAAGGAUGUGUUAACAAGGGAGCAGCUCUUGGUAGAGGAGCUGCAACCUCUGGCUUUAAUAAGUUCAUUGAACUUACCGAAGCAGGCAAAGACCUCAAAGAUGGAAGUUUAUCACAGUGAAUGCUUAACUCAUUCUCUCUCUCUCUCUCCUUUAAUAGGACAAACAAGCAUUCUUCACCUGGAUUAAACCAGGCUCAUCAGCGACUGCAGUAGGAGCUUGAAAGCUCCAUCUCUUGAGUUUCCAGAGUACAUCAAACAGAGAGGAUAUGAUCUCCAUGAUGUUCAAGCAUAUUUGAAGGUUUUUUUCCUUUAUCAAUGAUAUGUGUUUUUUUGUGUGUCAAAACCCUUUGUCAAACUCUAAUUCCUGUAACACAAAUAUUCAUUGUAUAUGCUAUAAAGACGCAGACUUUAGUGAUAUGAUAUCAUAUGUCUAUAUUUUGAUCAGGUGAUCUAAUGAAUCUAAUGUUUGGAAACAGAGUAUUAAUAUUUUUUACCAUAUUUUUUUUCUUUUGAAAGAAAAAGAAGAAUUCAUCUCCGACUUAUCCAAAGUGAGUCAUUCUUUUCUGUUUUUUUGUCAAG
Brassica napus (rape) is the source of this 1558-nucleotide long non-coding RNA. RefSeq lists it as uncharacterized. The transcript is spliced from 3 exons. The record is from RefSeq and is a predicted model, not a curated record. NCBI's taxonomy places the organism in Eukaryota, Viridiplantae, Streptophyta, Magnoliopsida, Brassicales, Brassicaceae.